UGUUCAACAUGCUAUGGACAAGGGAAUUGAUCCUCUCCUUGAGUCUGCCAUUCUAAUCUCAAAGAAGAGAAGAACAACCCUUCCUAGGUGAAAGCUGGUACUCCUUUCUCCUCACUUCUGUAAUCUCCCAUCAUCACCGAGGUCCCAUUUUAUUCCUAUUGUUUUUGCACCUCUUCAACCUUUCACUAUUACCCUUAUUCUCU
Molecule: long non-coding RNA, 203 nt
Filed under: Lupinus angustifolius (narrow-leaved blue lupine)
Lineage: Eukaryota; Viridiplantae; Streptophyta; Magnoliopsida; Fabales; Fabaceae
Description: long non-coding RNA (LANG_LNC000763)
Source: RNAcentral